CCUACGGGAGGCAGCAGUGAGGAAUAUUGGUCAAUGGACGCAAGUCUGAACCAGCCAUGCCGCGUGCAGGAAGACUGCUCUAUGAGUUGUAAACUUCUUUUGUACGGGGGUAAACCCAGAUACGCGUAUCUGUCUGAAAGUAUCGUACGAAUAAGGAUCGGCUAACUCCGUGCCAGCAGCCGCGGUAAUACGGAGGAUUCAAGCGUUAUCCGGAUUUAUUGGGUUUAAAGGGUGCGUAGGCGGUCGGAUAAGUUAGAGGUGAAAUCCCGAGGCUCAACACCGGAACUGCAUCUAAUACUGUUGAACUAGAGAGUAGUAGAGGUAGGUGGAAUGUAUGGUGUAGCGGUGAAAUGCUUAGAGAUCAUACAGAACACCGAUUGCGAAGGCAGCUUACCAAACUAUAACUGACGUUGAGGCACGAAAGCGUGGGUAGCAAACAGGAUUAGAUACCCGGGUAGUC
RNAcentral lists this ribosomal RNA (460 nucleotides) under uncultured bacterium. RNAcentral describes it as "partial 16S ribosomal RNA". It matches the Rfam family "Bacterial small subunit ribosomal RNA", at positions 338 to 795 of the family's 1533-position model. The record is from RNAcentral.